AGUGAACGCUGGCGGUAGGCCUAACACAUGCAAGUCGAACGGCAGCACAGUAAGAGCUUGCUCUUACGGGUGGCGAGUGGCGGACGGGUGAGGAAUACAUCGGAAUCUACUUUUUCGUGGGGGAUAACGUAGGGAAACUUACGCUAAUACCGCAUACGACCUACGGGUGAAAGCAGGGGAUCUUCGGACCUUGCGCGAUUGAAUGAGCCGAUAUCGGAUUAGCUAGUUGGCGGGGUAAAGGCCCACCAAGGCGACGAUCCGUAGCUGGUCUGAGAGGAUGAUCAGCCACACUGGAACUGAGACACGCUCCAGACUCCUACGGGAGGCAGCAGUGGGGAAUAUUGGACAAUGGGCGCAAGCCUGAUCCAGCCAUACCGCGUGGGUGAAGAAGGCCUUCGGGUUGUAAAGCCCUUUUGUUGGGAAAGAAAAGCAGCAGGUUAAUACCCCGCUGUUCUGACGGUACCCAAAGAAUAAGCACCGGCUAACUUCGUG
This 492-nucleotide ribosomal RNA is filed under the name uncultured bacterium. Its description in RNAcentral is "partial 16S ribosomal RNA". It matches the Rfam family "Bacterial small subunit ribosomal RNA", at positions 29 to 507 of the family's 1533-position model. The record is from RNAcentral.